AGGCGACUGCUCCCGCGAGGUCAGAGCCGGGCUGUGCCGCUGCCCCCGGGACUAGAAAGGGAAAUCUCCUUGCUAGAGGAGGAAGCCCUAAGAACUCAAGGGAGAUAGGGGUGGCAGGGGCAUUUCCCUGGAUGCCUGGAGCAUGGAGGGUGCGAAAUAAGGAGGCUUUCCUACCCCAUUGAUGAGCUGAAGUUGAUUCCGCACGGGGGAGGAAAGGGACAGGAAGCAUAAUUGGAUGUGCAAGCCUGUGGUUCUUCAGGAAGUUAACACGUGGAACUAACACUGUUGGAUGCUGCUGAACUCUCAGGAGGCUUUCCGGAAGCACUAAGAAAUAGAACUAGUUUGUCUAAUUUGGAAUUAAAAGAGUAACCAACUGAGUGUCUUCAGCAGUGACAAUGAAAAUGUACCACUUCCCAUUUUGAUAAUUCAAAGAGCCUUAAGAAAGAUCGUUUUGCUUGAAAGCACUAUUUCACACUGACACUGGUCAUUCAUAGGCUUCAGAUAAGAAAAACUCCAGCAGUGUCCAGAUCAAGCCAUCCUGACUUUGUCUCUAGGCGGCUUAACCUCAAGUCACAGCCUGGUCUCUGCAGCAGAGCCAGGC
This 601-nucleotide long non-coding RNA is filed under the name Homo sapiens (human). RNAcentral's name for it is "DGUOK antisense RNA 1". The record is from RNAcentral. Lineage: Eukaryota; Metazoa; Chordata; Mammalia; Primates; Hominidae.